AUUGAACGCUGGCGGCAGGCCUAACACAUGCAAGUCGAGCGGAUGAAGGGAGCUUGCUCCUGGAUUCAGCGGCGGACGGGUGAGUAAUGCCUAGGAAUCUGCCUGGUAGUGGGGGAUAACGUCCGGAAACGGGCGCUAAUACCGCAUACGUCCUGAGGGAGAAAGUGGGGGAUCUUCGGACCUCACGCUAUCAGAUGAGCCUAGGUCGGAUUAGCUAGUUGGUUGGGUAAAGGCCUACCAAGGCGACGAUCCGUAACUGGUCUGAGAGGAUGAUCAGUCACACUGUAACUGAGACACGGUCCAGACUCCUACGGGAGGCAGCAGUGGGGAAUAUUGGACAAAGGGCGAAAGCCUGAUCCAGCCAUGCCGCGUGUGUGAAGAAGGUCUUCGGAUUGUAAAGCACUUUAAGUUGGGAGGAAGGGCAGUAAGUUAAUACCUUGCUGUUUUGACGUUACCAACAGAAUAAGCACCGGCUAACUUCGUG
This 484-nucleotide ribosomal RNA is filed under the name uncultured bacterium. RNAcentral's name for it is "partial 16S ribosomal RNA". It matches the Rfam family "Bacterial small subunit ribosomal RNA", at positions 30 to 507 of the family's 1533-position model. The record is from RNAcentral.